CCUACGGGGGGCUGCAGUGGGGAAUAUUGGACAAUGGGCGAAAGCCUGAUCCAGCCAUGCCGCGUGUGUGAAGAAGGCCUUCGGGUUGUAAAGCACUUUCAGUGGGGAAGAAAGCCUUGGGGCUAAUACCCUCGAGGAAGGACAUCACCCACAGAAGAAGCACCGGCUAACUCCGUGCCAGCAGCCGCGGUAAUACGGAGGGUGCGAGCGUUAAUCGGAAUUACUGGGCGUAAAGCGCGCGUAGGCGGUCUGAUAAGCCGGUUGUGAAAGCCCCGGGCUCAACCUGGGAACGGCAUCCGGAACUGUCAGGCUAGAGUGCAGGAGAGGAGGGUAGAAUUCCCGGUGUAGCGGUGAAAUGCGUAGAGAUCGGGAGGAAUACCAGUGGCGAAGGCGGCCUUCUGGACUGACACUGACGCUGAGGUGCGAAAGCGUGGGUAGCAAACAGGAUUAGAUACCCUUGUAGUC
Molecule: ribosomal RNA, 465 nt
Filed under: Vreelandella stevensii
Lineage: Bacteria; Pseudomonadati; Pseudomonadota; Gammaproteobacteria; Oceanospirillales; Halomonadaceae
Description: partial 16S ribosomal RNA
Rfam family: Bacterial small subunit ribosomal RNA
Source: RNAcentral